GUCCAUGUGGCCUAAUGGAUAAGGCGUUUCCCUCCGGAGGAAGAGAUUGCGGGUUCAAGUCCCGCCUUGGACU
This 73-nucleotide transfer RNA is filed under the name Blastocystis hominis. It matches the Rfam family "tRNA". Rfam says of the family: Transfer RNA (tRNA) molecules are approximately 80 nucleotides in length. Their secondary structure includes four short double-helical elements and three loops (D, anti-codon, and T loops). The record is from Rfam by way of RNAcentral. Lineage: Eukaryota; Bigyra; Opalinata; Blastocystidae.